AGAGUUUGAUCCUGGCUCAGGAUGAACGCUGGCGGCGUGCUUAACACAUGCAAGUCGAGCGAAGCGCUUAAGUUUGAUUCUUCAGAUGAAGACUUUUGUGACUGAGCGGCGGACGGGUGAGUAACGCGUGGGUAACCUGCCUCAUACAGGGGGAUAACAGUUAGAAAUGACUGCUAAUACCGCAUAAGACCACAGGGUCGCAUGACCCGGUGGUAAAAACUCCGGUGGUAUGAGAUGGACCCGCGUCUGAUUAGCUAGUUGGUGGGGUAACGGCUCACCAAGGCGACGAUCAGUAGCCGACCUGAGAGGGUGACCGGCCACAUUGGGACUGAGACACGGCCCAAACUCUUACGGGAGGCAGCAGUGGGGAAUAUUGCACAAUGGGCGAAAGCCUGAUGCAGCGACGCCGCGUGAAGGAUGAAGUAUUUCGGUAUGUAAACUUCUAUCAGCAGGGAAGAAAAUGACGGUACCUGACUAAGAAGCCCCGGCUAACUACGUGCCAGCAGCCGCGGUAAUACGUAGGGGGCAAGCGUUAUCCGGAUUUACUGGGUGUAAAGGGAGCGUAGACGGCAUGGCAAGUCUGUAGUGAAAGCCCGGGGCUCAACCCCGGGACUGCUUUGGAAACUGUCAGGCUAGAGUGCUGGAGAGGUAAGUGGAAUUCCUAGUGUAGCGGUGAAAUGCGUAGAUAUUAGGAGGAACACCAGUGGCGAAGGCGGCUUACUGGACAGUAACUGACGUUGAGGCUCGAAAGCGUGGGGAGCAAACAGGAUUAGAUACCCUGGUAGUCCACGCCGUAAACGA
This 801-nucleotide ribosomal RNA is filed under the name uncultured bacterium. Its description in RNAcentral is "bacterial SSU rRNA". It matches the Rfam family "Bacterial small subunit ribosomal RNA", at positions 8 to 809 of the family's 1533-position model. The record is from RNAcentral.